This 107-nucleotide ribosomal RNA is filed under the name Uvulifer denticulatus. RNAcentral describes it as "partial 5.8S ribosomal RNA". It matches the Rfam family "5.8S ribosomal RNA", at positions 50 to 154 of the family's 154-position model. From Rfam's summary of the family: 5.8S ribosomal RNA (5.8S rRNA) is a component of the large subunit of the eukaryotic ribosome. It is transcribed by RNA polymerase I as part of the 45S precursor that also contains 18S and 28S rRNA. The record is from RNAcentral. Lineage: Eukaryota; Metazoa; Platyhelminthes; Trematoda; Diplostomida; Diplostomidae.
CAACUGUGUGAAUUAAUGCGAACUGCAUACUGCUUUGAGCAUCGACAUCUUGAACGCAUAUUGCGGCCGCGGGAUAUCCCGUGGCCACGCCUGGCCGAGGGUCGGCU